AGCAGCCGCGGUAAUUCCAGCUCCAAUAGCGUAUAUUAAAGUUGUUGCAGUUAAAAAGCUCGUAGUUGAAUUUCGGGGUCUGUCCGUCGGUCGGGCUUUACGGUCCGUACUGGUGUGAUGGGUUCCUACCUUCUGAAUAACCGGCAUGCCAUUCAGUUGGUGCGCCGGGGAAGCAGAGCUAUUACCUUGAAAAAAGUUAGAGUGCUUAAAGCAGGCUAGUGCUUGAAUAGAUUAGCAUGGAAUAAUAAAAUAGGACGGCAUGGUUCUAUUUUGUUGGCUUCUAGGAUCACCGUAAUGAUUAAUAGGGAUAGUUGGGGGCAUUAGUAUUCAAUUGUCAGAGGUGAAAUUCUUGGAUUUAUUGAAGACUAACUUCUGCGAAAGCAUUUGCCAAGGAUGUUUUCAUUAAUCAAGAACGAAAGUUAGGGGAUCGAAGACGAUCAGAUACCGUCGUAGUCUUAACCAUAAACUAUGCCGACUAGGGAUCGGACGAUGUUAAUUUUUUCAAUGACUCGUUCGGCGC
Molecule: ribosomal RNA, 520 nt
Filed under: uncultured Acaulospora
Lineage: Eukaryota; Fungi; Glomeromycota; Glomeromycetes; Diversisporales; Acaulosporaceae
Description: SSU rRNA
Rfam family: Eukaryotic small subunit ribosomal RNA
Source: RNAcentral